UGGGGAAUUUUGGACAAUGGGCGAAAGCCGAUCCAGCAAUGCCGCGUGUGUGAAGAAGGCCUUCGGGUUGUAAAGCACUUUUGUCCGGAAAGAAAUCCUUGGCUCUAAUACAGUCGGGGGAUGACGGUACCGGAAGAAUAAGCACCGGCUAACUACGUGCCAGCAGCCGCGGUAAUACGUAGGGUGCAAGCGUUAAUCGGAAUUACUGGGCGUAAAGCGUGCGCAGGCGGUUUGCUAAGACCGAUGUGAAAUCCCCGGGCUCAACCUGGGAACUGCAUUGGUGACUGGCAGGCUAGAGUAUGGCAGAGGGGGGUAGAAUUCCACGUGUAGCAGUGAAAUGCGUAGAGAUGUGGAGGAAUACCGAUGGCGAAGGCAGCCCCCUGGGCCAAUACUGACGCUCAUGCACGAAAGCGUGGGGAGCAAACAGGAUUAGAUACCCUGGUAGUCCACGCCCUAAACGAUGUCAACUAGUUGUUGGGGAUUCAUUUCCUUAGUAACGUAGCUAACGCGUGAAGUUGACCGCCUGGGGAGUACGGUCGCAAGAUUAAAACUCAAAUGAAUUGACGGGGUCAUAGCUGUUUCCU
This 584-nucleotide ribosomal RNA is filed under the name uncultured bacterium. RNAcentral's name for it is "partial 16S ribosomal RNA". It matches the Rfam family "Bacterial small subunit ribosomal RNA", at positions 355 to 1375 of the family's 1533-position model. The record is from RNAcentral.